CGUGUAGGCGGCUUGAUAAGUCAGAUGUGAAAGCCCUGGGCUCAACCCGGGAAGUGCAUUUGAAACUGUCCUGCUUGAGUAAGGGAGAGGGAAGUGGAAUUCCUGGUGUAGAGGUGAAAUUCGUAGAUAUCAGGAGGAACACCGGUGGCGAAGGCGACUUCCUGGCCCUAUACUGACGCUGAGACGCGAGAGCGUGGGGAGCAAACAGGAUUAGAUACCCUGGUAGUCCACGCCGUAAACGAUGUUCACUAGGUGUUGGGGGUAUUGACCCCCUCAGUGCCGGAGCUAACGCAUUAAGUGAACCGCCUGGGGGAGUACGGUCGCAAGACUAAA
RNAcentral lists this ribosomal RNA (333 nucleotides) under uncultured bacterium. Its description in RNAcentral is "bacterial SSU rRNA". It matches the Rfam family "Bacterial small subunit ribosomal RNA", at positions 568 to 898 of the family's 1533-position model. The record is from RNAcentral.